RNAcentral lists this ribosomal RNA (407 nucleotides) under uncultured bacterium. RNAcentral describes it as "partial 16S ribosomal RNA". It matches the Rfam family "Bacterial small subunit ribosomal RNA", at positions 28 to 526 of the family's 1533-position model. The record is from RNAcentral.
GACGAACGCUGGCGGCGUGCCUAAUACAUGCAAGUAGAACGCAGUUGCGAACGGGUGAGUAACGAGUAGGUAACUGCCUGGUAGCGGGGGAUAACUAUUGGAAACGAUAGCUAAUACCGCAUACUAACAGAUGGAGCUGCGUUGUAUUAGCUAGUGGGGGGGGUAACGGGUCACCAAGGCAACGAUACAUAGCCGACCUGAGAGGGUGUUCGGCCACACUGGGACUUAUACACGGCCCAGCCUCCUACGGGAGGCAGCAGUGGGGAUUCUUCGGCAAUGGACGGAAGUCUGACCGAGCAACGCCGCGUGAGUGAAGAAGGUUUUCGGAUCGUAAAGCUCUGUUGUUAGAGAAGCGGUAUCUAACCAGGAAGCCACGGCUAACUACGUGCCAGCAGCCGCGGUAAUUC